GUAGUCCAUGCCGUAAACGUUGGGCACUAGGUGUGGGGGACAUUCCACGUUUUCCGCGCCGUAGCUAACGCAUUAAGUGCCCCGCCUGGGGAGUACGGCCGCAAGGCUAAAACUCAAAGGAAUUGACGGGGGCCCGCACAAGCGGCGGAGCAUGCGGAUUAAUUCGAUGCAACGCGAAGAACCUUACCAAGGCUUGACAUACACCGGACCGGUUCAGAGAUGUUCCUUCCCCCUUGUGGGGCUGGUGUACAGGUGGUGCAUGGUUGUCGUCAGCUCGUGUCGUGAGAUGUUGGGUUAAGUCCCGCAACGAGCGCAACCCUCGUUCUAUGUUGCCAGCACGUGAUGGUGGGGACUCAUAGGAGACUGCCGGGGUCAACUCGGA
RNAcentral lists this ribosomal RNA (382 nucleotides) under uncultured bacterium. RNAcentral's name for it is "bacterial SSU rRNA". It matches the Rfam family "Bacterial small subunit ribosomal RNA", at positions 790 to 1167 of the family's 1533-position model. The record is from RNAcentral.